CGCGUAGGCGGGGGACCAAGUCCGGGGUGAAAUCUUUCGGCUCAACCGGAAAACUGCCUUGGAUACUGGUCUUCUUGAGGGAGGUAGGGGCAGGUGGAACUUCCGGUGGAGCGGUGAAAUGCGUUGAUAUCGGAAGGAACGCCGGUGGCGAAAGCGACCUGCUGGAUCUCUUCUGACGCUGAGGCGCGAAAGCUAGGGGAGCGAAC
Molecule: ribosomal RNA, 206 nt
Filed under: uncultured bacterium
Lineage: Bacteria
Description: partial 16S ribosomal RNA
Rfam family: Bacterial small subunit ribosomal RNA
Source: RNAcentral